GAUGAACGCUGGCGGCGUGCUUAACACAUGCAAGUCGAACGGGAUCCAAGGGGUGCUUGCACUUUUUGGUGAGAGUGGCGAACGGGUGAGUAACACGUGAGUAACCUGUCCUUUUCUUUGGGAUAAGCAUUCGAAAGGGUGUUUAAUACCUUAUGUUCUGUCUGCCUCGCAUGGGGUGGGUGGGAAAGGCUUUGGCCGGAUUUGGGUGGGCUCGCGGUCUAUCAGCUUGUUGGUGGGGUGAUGGCUUACCAAGGCUUUGACGGGUAGCCGGCCUGAGAGGGUGGUCGGUCACAUUGGGACUGAGAUACGGCCCAGACUCCUGCGGGAGGCAGCAGUGGGGGAUAUUGCACAAUGGGCGAAAGCCUGAUGCAGCGACGCCGCGUGGGGGAUGAAGGCCUUCGGGUUGUAAACUUCUUUUGCUCUGAACUAGGCAUGCCAGUGGGUGUGUUGAGUGUAGGGGUUGAUUAGCGCCGGCUAACUACGUG
This 485-nucleotide ribosomal RNA is filed under the name uncultured bacterium. Its description in RNAcentral is "partial 16S ribosomal RNA". It matches the Rfam family "Bacterial small subunit ribosomal RNA", at positions 28 to 507 of the family's 1533-position model. The record is from RNAcentral.